This 530-nucleotide ribosomal RNA is filed under the name Klebsiella pneumoniae. RNAcentral describes it as "bacterial LSU rRNA". It matches the Rfam family "Bacterial large subunit ribosomal RNA", at positions 1 to 561 of the family's 2925-position model. The record is from RNAcentral. RNAcentral also lists the same sequence under 1 other name. Lineage: Bacteria; Pseudomonadati; Pseudomonadota; Gammaproteobacteria; Enterobacterales; Enterobacteriaceae.
GGGUUGUGAGGUUAAGCGACUAAGCGUACACGGUGGAUGCCCUGGCAGUCAGAGGCGAUGAAGGACGUGCUAAUCUGCGAAAAGCGUCGGUAAGGUGAUAUGAACCGUUAUAACCGGCGAUGUCCGAAUGGGGAAACCCAGUGCAAUUCGUUGCACUAUCGUUAACUGAAUACAUAGGUUAACGAGGCGAACCGGGGGAACUGAAACAUCUAAGUACCCCGAGGAAAAGAAAUCAACCGAGAUUCCCCCAGUAGCGGCGAGCGAACGGGGAGCAGCCCAGAGUCUGAAUCAGCUUGUGUGUUAGUGGAACGGUCUGGAAAGUCCGACGGUACAGGGUGAUAGUCCCGUACACCAAAAUGCACAGGCUGUGAACUCGAAGAGUAGGGCGGGACACGUGGUAUCCUGUCUGAAUAUGGGGGGACCAUCCUCCAAGGCUAAAUACUCCUGACUGACCGAUAGUGAACCAGUACCGUGAGGGAAAGGCGAAAAGAACCCCGGCGAGGGGAGUGAAAAAGAACCUGAAACCGUGU